Molecule: transfer RNA, 73 nt
Filed under: Neotoma lepida (desert woodrat)
Lineage: Eukaryota; Metazoa; Chordata; Mammalia; Rodentia; Cricetidae
Rfam family: tRNA
About the family: Transfer RNA (tRNA) molecules are approximately 80 nucleotides in length.
Source: Rfam by way of RNAcentral
AGAGAUGUAGCUCUGUUGGUAGAGCACUUGCCUUGAACACAUCAAGCUGUGGGUUCGAUCCCCAGCGUCACAU